RNAcentral lists this small nucleolar RNA (129 nucleotides) under Prolemur simus (greater bamboo lemur). The record is from RNAcentral. Lineage: Eukaryota; Metazoa; Chordata; Mammalia; Primates; Lemuridae.
GUGCACAUUUCAUUGUCUUUUUUCUUUAUGUCGAGAGAAAAGAUAUUUCUGAUGUGCUAAACAAACCUUUGGAGAUAAAUUAGCAGCAUGACUAAUUUAGCCGUUGCUGUCAGUCACCUUCAGACAAAC